AGUGAACGCUGGCGGUAGGCCUAACACAUGCAAGUCGAACGGCAGCACAGAGGAGCUUGCUCCUUGGGUGGCGAGUGGCGGACGGGUGAGGAAUACAUCGGAAUCUACUCUGUCGUGGGGGAUAACGUAGGGAAACUUACGCUAAUACCGCAUACGACCUACGGGUGAAAGCAGGGGAUCUUCGGACCUUGCGCGAUUGAAUGAGCCGAUGUCGGAUUAGCUAGUUGGCGGGGUAAAGGCCCACAAAGGCGACGAUCCGUAACUGGUCUGAGGAGGUGAUCAGCCACACUGGAACUGAGACACGGUCCAGACUCCUACGGGAGGCAGCAGUGGGGAAUAUUGGACAAUGGGCGCAAGCCGGAUCCAGCCAUACCGCGUGGGUGAAGAAGGCCUUCGGGUUGUAAGGCCCCUUUGUUGGGAAAGAAAUCCAUCUGGUUAAUACCCGGGUGGGAUGACGGUACCCAAAGAAUAAGCACCGGCUAACUUCGUGCCAGCCGCCGCUGUAA
RNAcentral lists this ribosomal RNA (506 nucleotides) under uncultured bacterium. RNAcentral describes it as "partial 16S ribosomal RNA". It matches the Rfam family "Bacterial small subunit ribosomal RNA", at positions 29 to 523 of the family's 1533-position model. The record is from RNAcentral.